This 474-nucleotide ribosomal RNA is filed under the name Novosphingobium sp. MCA2.12. Its description in RNAcentral is "bacterial SSU rRNA". It matches the Rfam family "Bacterial small subunit ribosomal RNA", at positions 56 to 578 of the family's 1533-position model. The record is from RNAcentral. Lineage: Bacteria; Pseudomonadati; Pseudomonadota; Alphaproteobacteria; Sphingomonadales; Sphingomonadaceae.
UGCAGUCGACGAAGUCUUCGGACUUAGUGGCGCACGGGUGCGUAACGCGUGGSAAUCUGCCCUUGGGUACGGAAUAACAGUGAGAAAUUACUGCUAAUACCGUAUGAUGUCUUCGGACCAAAGAUUUAUCGCCCAAGGAUGAGCCCGCGUUGGAUUAGCUAGUUGGUAGGGUAAAAGCCUACCAAGGCGACGAUCCAUAGCUGGUCUGAGAGGAUGAUCAGCCACACUGGGACUGAGACACGGCCCAGACUCCUACGGGAGGCAGCAGUGGGGAAUAUUGGACAAUGGGGGAAACCCUGAUCCAGCAAUGCCGCGUGAGUGAUGAAGGCCUUAGGGUUGUAAAGCUCUUUUACCCGGGAUGAUAAUGACAGUACCGGGAGAAUAAGCUCCGGCUAACUCCGUGCCAGCAGCCGCGGUAAUACGGAGGGAGCUAGCGUUGUUCGGAAUUACUGGGCGUAAAGCGCGCGUAGGCGG